GGAGAGAUGGCCGAGCGGUUCAAGGCGUAGCAUUGGAACUGCUAUGUAGACUUUUGUUUACCGAGGGUUCGAAUCCC
Molecule: transfer RNA, 77 nt
Filed under: Aegilops geniculata
Lineage: Eukaryota; Viridiplantae; Streptophyta; Magnoliopsida; Poales; Poaceae
Description: partial tRNA-Ser
Rfam family: tRNA
About the family: Transfer RNA (tRNA) molecules are approximately 80 nucleotides in length. Their secondary structure includes four short double-helical elements and three loops (D, anti-codon, and T loops).
Source: RNAcentral